UACGUAGGUGGCAAGCGUUGUCCGGAUUUACUGGGUGUAAAGGGCGUGCAGCCGGGCUGAUAAGUCAGAUGUGAAAUCUGGAGGCUCAACCUCCAAACUGCAUUUGAAACUGUCGGUCUUGAGUAUCGGAGAGGUAACCGGAAUUCCUAGUGUAGCGGUGAAAUGCGUAGAUAUUAGGAAGAACACCAGUGGCGAAGGCGGGUUACUGGACGACAACUGACGGUGAGGCGCGAAAGCGUGGGGAGCAAACAGG
RNAcentral lists this ribosomal RNA (253 nucleotides) under Oscillibacter ruminantium GH1. Its description in RNAcentral is "partial 16S ribosomal RNA". It matches the Rfam family "Bacterial small subunit ribosomal RNA", at positions 524 to 776 of the family's 1533-position model. The record is from RNAcentral. Lineage: Bacteria; Bacillati; Bacillota; Clostridia; Eubacteriales; Oscillospiraceae.